RNAcentral lists this ribosomal RNA (253 nucleotides) under uncultured bacterium. RNAcentral's name for it is "partial 16S ribosomal RNA". It matches the Rfam family "Bacterial small subunit ribosomal RNA", at positions 524 to 776 of the family's 1533-position model. The record is from RNAcentral.
UACGGGGGGGGCAAGCGUUGUUCGGAAUUACUGGGCGUAAAGGGCUCGUAGGCGGCCAACUAAGUCAGACGUGAAAUCCCUCAGCUUAACUGGGGAACUGCGUCUGAUACUGGAUGGCUUGGAUUCGGGAGAGGAAUGCGGAAUUCCUAGUGUAGAGGUGAAAUUCGUAGAUAUUAGGAAGAACACCAGUGGCGAAGGCGGCUCACUGGCCCGGUACUGACGCUGAGGCGCGAAAGCGUGGGGAGCAAACAGG